AUUGAACGCUGGCGGCAUGCCUUACACAUGCAAGUCGAACGGCAGCACGGGUGCUUGCACCUGGUGGCGAGUGGCGAACGGGUGAGUAAUACAUCGGAACAUGUCCUGUAGUGGGGGAUAGCCCGGCGAAAGCCGGAUUAAUACCGCAUACGAUCUACGGAUGAAAGCGGGGGACCUUCGGGCCUCGCGCUAUAGGGUUGGCCGAUGGCUGAUUAGCUAGUUGGUGGGGUAAAGGCCUACCAAGGCGACGAUCAGUAGCUGGUCUGAGAGGACGACCAGCCACACUGGGACUGAGACACGGCCCAGACUCCUACGCGAGGCAGCAGUGGGGAAUUUUGGACAAUGGGCGAAAGCCUGAUCCAGCAAUGCCGCGUGUGUGAAGAAGGCCUUCGGGUUGUAAAGCACUUUUGUCCGGAAAGAAAUCCUUGGCCCUAAUACGGUCGGGGGAUGACGGUACCGGAAGAAUAAGCACCGGCUAACUACGUG
This 486-nucleotide ribosomal RNA is filed under the name uncultured bacterium. RNAcentral describes it as "partial 16S ribosomal RNA". It matches the Rfam family "Bacterial small subunit ribosomal RNA", at positions 30 to 507 of the family's 1533-position model. The record is from RNAcentral.